AGUCGAACGAAGUUUUUCUUUCGGGAGGAACUUAGUGGCGGACGGGUGAGUAACGCGUGGGUAACCUGCCCUGUACAGGGGGACAACAGCUGGAAACGGCUGCUAAUACCGCAUAAGCCCUUAGCACUGCAUGGUGCAUAGGGAAAAGGAGUAAUCCGGUACAGGAUGGACCCGCGUCUGAUUAGCCAGUUGGCAGGGUAACGGCCUACCAAAGCGACGAUCAGUAGCCGAUCUGAGAGGAUGUACGGCCACAUUGGGACUGAGACACGGCCCAGACUCCUACGGGAGGCAGCAGUGGGGAAUAUUGCACAAUGGAGGAAACUCUGAUGCAGCGACGCCGCGUGAGUGAAGAAGUAUUUCGGUAUGUAAAGCUCUAUCAGCAGGGAAGAAAAUGACGGUACCUGACUAAGAAGCACCGGCUAAAUACGUGCCAGCAGCCGCGGUAAUACGUAUGGUGCAAGCGUUAUCCGGAUUUACUGGGUGUAAAGGGAGCGUAGGUGGCAAGGCAAGCCAGAAGUGAAAACCCGGGGCUCAACCGCGGGAUUGCUUUUGGAACUGUCAUGCUAGAGUGCAGGAGGGGUGAGCGGAAUUCCUAGUGUAGCGGUGAAAUGCGUAGAUAUUAGGAGGAACACCGGAGGCGAAGGCGGCUCACUGGACUGUAACUGACACUGAGGCUCGAAAGCGUGGGGAGCAAACAGGAUUAGAUACCCUGGUAGUCCACGCGGUAAACGAUGAAUACUAGAUGUCGGGUAGCAAAGCUAUUCGGUGUCGUCGCAAACGCAAUAAGUAUUCCACCUGGGGAGUACGUUCGCAAGAAUGAAACUCAA
Molecule: ribosomal RNA, 827 nt
Filed under: uncultured bacterium
Lineage: Bacteria
Description: bacterial SSU rRNA
Rfam family: Bacterial small subunit ribosomal RNA
Source: RNAcentral